This 882-nucleotide ribosomal RNA is filed under the name bacterium enrichment culture clone L55B-105. RNAcentral describes it as "bacterial SSU rRNA". It matches the Rfam family "Bacterial small subunit ribosomal RNA", at positions 8 to 916 of the family's 1533-position model. The record is from RNAcentral.
AGAGUUUGAUCAUGGCUCAGAAUCAACGCUGGCGGCGUGCCUAACACAUGCAAGUCGGACGUGAAAGGGGUUUCGGCCCUGAGUAGCGUGGCGGACGGGUGAGGAACGCGUGGGUGACCUGCCCUGCAGAGGGGGAUAACCCUCCGAAAGGGGGGCUAAUACCGCAUGAGCCCGAGAGGGGAAAGACGGUGAGUCGCUGCGGGAGGGGCCUGCGUCCGAUUAGCUGGUUGGUGGGGUAAGAGCCCACCAAGGCGACGAUCGGUAGCCGGUCUGAGAGGACGGGCGGCCACACUGGGACUGAGAUACGGCCCAGACUCCUACGGGAGGCAGCAGUGGGGAAUUUUGGGCAAUGGGCGAAAGCCUGACCCAGCAACGCCGCGUGGAGGAAGAAGGCCUUCGGGUUGUAAACUCCUGUCCCGAGGGACGAAGUAGGUGACGGUACCUUGGGAGGAAGCCCCGGCUAACUCCGUGCCAGCAGCCGCGGUAAUACGGGGGGGGCGAGCGUUGUUCGGAAUUACUGGGCGUAAAGGGCGCGUAGGCGGUCUCGGAAGUUCUGGGUGAAAGUCCCCGGCUCAACCGGGGGAGGUCCCAGGAAACCACGGGGCUGGAGUGCUGGAGAGGGAAGUGGAAUUCCCGGUGGAGCGGUGAAAUGCGUAGAGAUCGGGAGGAACACCGGAGGCGAAGGCGGCUUCCUGGACAGACACUGACGCUGAGGCGCGAAAGCCAGGGGAGCGAACGGGAUUAGAUACCCCGGUAGUCCUGGCCCUAAACGAUGAACACUGGGGUGUGGGGGGCGCGAAAGCCUUCCGUGCCGGAGAUAACUUGUUAAGUGUUCCGCCUGGGGAGUACGGCCGCAAGGCUGAAACUCAAAUGAAUUGACGG